CCUACGGGAGGCAGCAGUGGGGAAUAUUGCACAAUGGGGGGAACCCUGAUGCAGCGACGCCGCGUGAGUGAAGAAGUAUUUCGGUAUGUAAAGCUCUAUCAGCAGGGAAGAAAAUGACGGUACCUGACUAAGAAGCCCCGGCUAACUACGUGCCAGCAGCCGCGGUAAUACGUAGGGGGCAAGCGUUAUCCGGAUUUACUGGGGGUAAAGGGAGCGUAGACGGUUAUGCAAGUCUGAAGUGAAAGCCAAAGGCUCAACCAUGGGACUGCUUUGGAAACUGUAAAACUGGAGUGCAGGAGAGGUAAGCGGAAUUCCUAGUGUAGCGGUGAAAUGCGUAGAUAUUAGGAGGAACACCAGUGGCGAAGGCGGCUUACUGGACUGUAACUGACGCUGAGGCACGAAAGCGUGGGUAUCGAACAGGAUUAGAUACCCUUGUAGUC
RNAcentral lists this ribosomal RNA (440 nucleotides) under uncultured bacterium. RNAcentral describes it as "partial 16S ribosomal RNA". It matches the Rfam family "Bacterial small subunit ribosomal RNA", at positions 338 to 795 of the family's 1533-position model. The record is from RNAcentral.